Molecule: ribosomal RNA, 406 nt
Filed under: uncultured bacterium
Lineage: Bacteria
Description: partial 16S ribosomal RNA
Rfam family: Bacterial small subunit ribosomal RNA
Source: RNAcentral
AUUGAACGCUGGCGGCAGGCCUAACACAUGCAAGUCGAACGAGUGGCGGACGGGUGAGUAAUGUCUGGGAAACUGCCUGGUGGAGGGGGAUAACUCCUGGAAACGGUAGCUAAUACCGCAUACCAUCGGAUGUGCCCAGAUGGGAUUAGCUAGUAUGUGGGGUAACGGCUCACCUAGGCGACGAUCCCUAGCUGGCCUGAGAGGAUGACCGGCCACACUGGAACUGAGACACGGUCCAGACUCCUACGGGAGGCAGCAGUGGGGAAUAUUGCACAAUGGGCGAAAGCCGGAUGCAGCAAUGCCGCGUGUAUGAAGAAGGCCUUCGGUUUGUAAAGUACUUUCAGCGGGGAGGCGUUACCCGCAGAAAAAGCAACGGCUAACUACGUGCCAGCAGCCGCGGUAAUAC